UACGUAGGGGGGCUAGCGUUGUCCGGAUUUAUUGGGCGUAAAGAGCGUGUAGGCGGCCAGGUAGGUCUGCUGUGAAAACUCGAGGCUUAACCUCGAGAUGUCGGCGGAAACCAUCUGGCUAGAGUCCGGAAGAGGAGAGUGGAAUUCCUGGUGUAGCGGUGGAAUGCGCAGAUAUCAGGAGGAACACCUAUAGCGAAGGCAGCUCGCUGGGACGACACUGACGCUGAGACGCGAAAGCGUGGGGAGCGAACAGG
This 254-nucleotide ribosomal RNA is filed under the name uncultured bacterium. RNAcentral describes it as "partial 16S ribosomal RNA". It matches the Rfam family "Bacterial small subunit ribosomal RNA", at positions 524 to 776 of the family's 1533-position model. The record is from RNAcentral.